GGGAUCCGGGCGGAGCCGCAGGAGGAGGCGGGUGGUUCCUGCUAAAGAAGCCAGUUUUCUUGAAAAAAAGAAACGUGCGGGGAAACGUAUCCGACAGCAAAGAACUUACCAAGGACUAUGAACGUCUUGCUAACAUAGAAGCGAAACUGAAGCGGUUCUCAUUGCCAAAAAAGAAGAUUUGAGCAUGAAUAAGAACAGGAAUUCGAGUGAAUUUAAAAUCCUCAGAUGCUCCAGUCUGUAAUUCAUAAUAAUGUAUUUUUUAACUCUGUUCACCUUUGGAGGAUGCUGGUAAGCUCACCCCAGUUUGUGGCCUGGUUAAUAAAAGGAAAGCAUCAAGCAUUUGUCCUGCCUUUAUGAAAUUUACAGCAGAGUAACCAAAUACUGCAUGAGAAGAAUUUCUCAUUAUAGAAGUUUUCCCGCUAAUAAAUGAAGAAGAAACAGUAGGAUUAAAACAUCACCCUAUGAAUUAACGGACCUAGGCAAUGUCAUCAAUGACUGCUAAUUAACAUCGCAAAAAGGUCAGUUAGAUAUCAGAAGUACACAACACUAUGAAGUAGUCUUGCCAGAAAAAAUUUAACCUGAAUGUGAACAAGCUUCUAGAGUGAAUUACUGGAAAUGUGGAAGACAAGACUGUACUAAAGGAUUCUACAAGGAUACAGUCAGCAAUUCGAAACCUCAACCAUCUGAAUGGACCCUUCCGCUUGGCCAAGAGCAUUCCCAAGUUAUCCUGAAAAACUAGCUCAGGCAGUGAUGGGAAGGGGGAGACAGACAUACCUCACUCCCUCCUCCCUUUUGGAAUUCAGGCACACAGCUGACCAGCAUUCACAUUAAAACAGAUCUUGAGGUGGCCAGGUGCGGUGGCUCACGCCUGUAAUCCCAGCACUUUGGGAGGCCAAGGUGGGCAGAUCACGAGGUCAGGAGAUUGAGACCAUCCUGGCUAACACAGUGAAACCUCAUCUCUACUAAAAACACAAAAAAAUUAGCUGGGCGUGGUGGCGGGUGCUCAUAGUCCCAGCUACUCGGGAGGCUGAGGCAGGAGAAUGGCGUGAACCCGGGAGGCAGAGCUUGCAGUGAGCCGAGAUCGUGCCACUGCUCUCCAGCCUGGGCAACAGAGUGAGACUCCAUCUCAAUAAAAAAUAACAAAACAAAACAAAAACAGAUCUUGAAGUUGACAAAGUAGACUCUGUAGCAAUGACGCCAAAUUCCAGCCUGACUCUGGUAUAGGACUACAUGACAGAUAGGAAGCCUUGGAAGAAAUGGAAGUACUUUACCCCACAUUAAAUUUCUUCGACUUAUUUUGAAA
Homo sapiens (human) is the source of this 1303-nucleotide long non-coding RNA. The record is from Ensembl. Lineage: Eukaryota; Metazoa; Chordata; Mammalia; Primates; Hominidae.